CAUGCGUCGGUUGGUUAAACAUUCACUUAAUAAAAUCAUGAUUAUCCAUUAUUAAAAAACACUCUUAUCUUAUCAUCAGCGCAGUGAUGCCUUGUUGAACUAAAUCAGGUUAUUUUAUUCUCUGCGCAAAACAAAGUAAUUUCCCAUCGCAGAAGCCAUCAACAAGCGAGUAGUUUACAAAGUUCAAAAAAUUGACAUACAACAUUACAGUAAAUACACAAAGUUAAUAAUUAUAUCUAAAAUAUUGCAAUAUUUAAGAUUAUUUUGUGAUAUACCAAUGUGAUUGAUAAAGUUAUCACAAAUGCUUAAUUACUUAAAACUUAAUUAAUUUGUUAAUAAUUAAAAAUAUGAAGAUUCCGGUCAACGAAAAUGUUCUGCAAGCAUUGCUAAUUGCACUUAAUUUUAUUUUUGCUUUAUUGAGUGCUUCUCUUGUUGGCCUGGGCAUUGUAUACAUUGACGACCUUUCCCUGAUAGAAAUCUACGUGACUAAAGUUAGUUUCUUAAAGUUACCAAUCGUUCUGAUCAUUUUAGGAGCCCUAAGUUUCAUUUCUUCAAUGGUCGGCUGUUGUAUUGUACGCAACUGUAAUGUGACAUUCCUCCGAAUUUAUUUAAUAUUUCUGGGUUUACUUCUGAUUGCUGAGUUAACAAUCGGCUGCAUGGCGUUUAUGAAUGGUACUGAGCCUUCCACUACGAGCACGCGCAUGAAAAUGACACAAUUGUUAGACCAUGACGCAAAAACGCGUGACCGUUUUUAUAUUCUGGAACAGCAUCGAUUAUCGUAGAUCUACAAGUACAAACACACAACACUCAAUCCCCAAAACAGAAUAUCAAGCUGUGUAAACACGGAGAUAUCAACAUUCAACAUUGCCAUAUUUUUAUAUACAGAUAAACAAUUUAAACACAUAAUGCGUUUAGUUGCUGUGGAAUUAACAGCGUCAACGAUUAUAAAGACGACGCAUUGGUUUUACACAAUGAAACUCUGUGUCAUCGCAUUUUUUAUAGUCCCAGCAUGCAGGAGCUGAACGGAUGCGCGGUCACAGUAGUGCUCAACAUAAAACGCAUCUCGUUUGAAAUUGGAGGCUGUAUGAUUGUAUAUUCAUUUCUACAGAUUAUCGAUAUCGCAUGUUUGGUUAUGAUACUGAUGCAGAUGUGAAUUGAACAUCUAAUGGUAUAAUGGAACAUUUAAUAAGUAUAAAUAUACAUACAUAUUAUGCAAUGUUUAAUUUUUAUGAUUGAAGAAGAAAAAUGUAGGAAAACGAUGAAAUAAAGUUACGAAUUCUCAGAGAAAUUAAAAUUUGCGUGCGCGCCAUCUGGUGGACAUACAGUAAGCAUCGUCAGUAACUAAAUUACGAAAAUAUAAUUCAACUAGUUGUUGCCCGCGACUUCGUUCCGGCAGUGUUUAAUAAAAAUGUAAUUCGUUUUUA
This is an RNA transcript of Dalotia coriaria, 1424 nucleotides long. It is a transcript of the gene named 23 kDa integral membrane protein-like, with no coding region annotated. The record is from RefSeq and is a predicted model, not a curated record. The transcript is spliced from 6 exons. NCBI's taxonomy places the organism in Eukaryota, Metazoa, Arthropoda, Insecta, Coleoptera, Staphylinidae.